UAUGUCAUGGCCGCCAGAGGACAACACACGUUUCCCGUUAAAACCGUGACAUACCUACCUAUAAUACGACCGGUCUCCCGUACUCGGUUCAACGCAAAGCAGCACGCACGUAAACCGCUACGGCGUAGGUAAUGUAUCGAUGAGUAUCAAGGACAUUACAGGCGGCUGUGACCUAUUUACCUGUGUUGCAUCAUAAAACAAGUUUUCCAUUAGACGCUAUUUGUGUUGUCUCCGCAGUCCACAUAUAGAAUCUUUCUUAUGUUGGUCGUCUACAUUGGAUUCUAUAUGUGAGCUUGUCUCUAUACAAAUUGAAGAAUUGCGUUCGAUAUCAGGAAGAAAUUAAUGAACAUUUGACAGACAAUAGAAACACCAACGUUCAACGGCAUCGGAUAUUUAUCAACAAAUCUAUUAUCUUGAUAAUGAAUACCUACACUUUAUAAAUACUGUUUAAUGUAUUUUAUAUUUUUAAAUGUACCGCCUAAUCAUUGAUACACUAAAAUUAUGUUACUUAAAAAUUUAAAAUAUUAUAUCAUUCAAUUUUAUAAAAAAAUUAAUCUAUAUUAACAAAAAGCAAUGCAUAUGUAUGAUUGUGUAAAAGCAAUUCAAAGCCAAGUCUAUUGCACUAAUGGUUCUGAAAUUUGGUUCACAUAGGUAAUCCUAUAUAACCGAUGACGAUGAGAAUAUCUGAAUAUAUGCACCACGAAGCCAAACUUAUAAAUGUUAAAGAUGGAUUUAAUCAUACACUCAUAUACAGGGAAGGAUUUAUUCGUUCACGAAAAACGAAUGUUUUGUAUAUUGUUUGCAUACUUAAUAAGUUAUUAUUAGAUUUAGAAUAUAAAUUGUAAUUAUGAUUGGAUAUAAUUUUUAAUUUUUAUUUUAUAUUGGGUCAAAAGAAUCUAAAUAAUUGUACACAAAAUCUGUGCCGUUUAUAGGUAAAUUAAUAAUAAUAAAUUUAAUUUUACGUAUUACUUGGGAGGGGGAAUAUAUUUUAAAACCAUUCUUAAAAUAGAAAAUUAAAUACUUAAAAAAGUAACGUCACACCUACAAUAAUAAUUUAGUUAUUUUAUACUUGUAAAAUAUAACAUAGGUAAUAAUAUUUAAAAUAAGAAAUUUUUAUUUAUUUAAAUAUAGACAUGUUUAUAAUACAAUGUACACAUGUUAUACGGCCCAUGAAGGGGAUGCAAAUCCCCGCUGCAGGUAUGCCACAGGAGUUAGACGAGUAGCUAUAGCAAGAGGGAGACUGAAAAGGAGCAGUGUUUCUGUGUUUCUAGUUGAAUGCGUAGGAAAACGGAAAACUUAAAAGCUAACUUCGGUAAGUAGACAAAAGGAAUCAAUAUAGCAAUUUUGUUCAAAUGUUUUAAAAGGUAUAAUUGGCGGUUAGCUGCAAAGCAGCAAACCAUGAGACUAGAUAAUAAAUUUAGCACUUGACUUACCACUGUGUAGUCAUAGGAUGAUCGUAUUACAGAAAACACCACGAAAAAACAUUCGCUGGACAUGCUCGUGCGAUAAGACGAUUAUAAGAGUAUACUGAAUACUGAUUUUAAUUUACAGAACCAUAUUCUAGUAAGUAGAUAGUAGGUACCUAUGAUGUGGGGCGAGCAGUAGAGAGGGUUUAAGAGAGGUAAUAAAUUUAAAUUGACAUGUGAUUCAUAAUAGUUAAGUACAGCAUUUUUAGUGCCUUGCAGGAAAUCUCUUCAAUGAUGCGUUGACCAGAGCUAAAAUUAUUGUAGGUACUUCAAGCGAAUCCCAAGAUCCCGAACAGAAAGAUAAGUGUAGGGAACAAUAUCUAUAAAAAUUCUAUAAACGAAAUAAGAGUAAUUAAAUUUUAAGAUGUGUGUAUAGAACAUGACCUUCCAUUGACCAAUAUUUUAAGCUGUAAGUUAAGUGUUUCAUAACUAUUAUUGACUUAUUGUUUACAAAUUUAAGUUAGUUCACAGUCAGAAAGAAAAAAACAAUUUGAUAUCAUCAACAAAUAUAGGUAAGUGACUUAGAUAGUAAACUAGUAACUAGUAAUGCUGCAACACAGACGAAACACUGUUGACGAGUAAAAAGAAUAGAUUAGGUGAAAUGUUAUGUAAUUAUAAUAAUUUAAAGCAAAUUAGUUUGUUUAAAAACUAUAUAAUCAAAUAUAUAAAUUAUAAGUACUUACUACUUUGACUCAGUUACAGUAGUACUAAAAAUUAGUUAAAAAUGAAAUUAAUAAUAUUGUAGUAGCUAGUAGGUUGUAGCCUUGUAGGUAUGUAAUAUGUAAAAGGUACUUUAUAACUAGGGCUAGGAUUUCUAUGCAGUAAAAAAAUUGUAAAAUAUGCAUUUUAUUUACCAAAAUAUGCAAAAAUAUGCAAAAACAAUUUUUUUUAAAUAUUAAUUAAUAUUAUUACAUGCUAUUAUUAAAACAUGUUUUUUAAAUUUUCAAAUGUGAACGUCCGGUGAUUAAAUCGAAGAUUUAUUAUAUUGGUUGAAACUCCUUUCCACAUCACACAAUGUUGUCGGAGCAAAUUUAAAUUACGUGAUUUUUCCCGGAUUUAAAGUAAUAUCAACAUCUAUUUCUUCUGUUUUUUAAUCACCGUUUAUAAUGUUAAACAUUUUUUGAAAUGUUAUGAAUCCCUUAUUCUUCUUUAGUAUUAAGUUAAUUUUAGUUUAAAUAGGUAGUUUAUUAUAUUUAUGAUAAUUCGACAAAUUAAUCUAUAAUUAUAGACGUUUAUUAAAUAAAUACAAUUUAAAAUUAACAAGAUUCUCAACAAUUUAUUUAUAUGCAAUUAUAUGCGUUAUAUUCAAAAUAUGCAAAAAUAUGCAAAAAAAAAAAUUGUACUAUUCAAGAAUAAGCCAUAUCGUGGACAUAUCUGCAGACAACUAAUAAAUUUGGAUUUAAGGAAAAAACAUGCAAAUGCAUAGAAAUCUUAGCCCUAUUUAUAACAUGUA
Molecule: long non-coding RNA, 2919 nt
Organism: Rhopalosiphum padi (bird cherry-oat aphid)
Lineage: Eukaryota; Metazoa; Arthropoda; Insecta; Hemiptera; Aphididae
Exons: 4
Source: RefSeq, a predicted model, not a curated record